GACGAACCGUGCGACCGUUAUUCGGAAUCACUGGGCUUAAAGCGCGUGUAGGCGGGCCAUCACGUCGGUCGUUGAAAGCCCCCGGCUCAACCGGGGAACCGGCGCCGAUACGAGUGGCCUGGAGGGGGGUAGGGGGACCUGGAACUUCCGGUGGAGCGGUGAAAUGCGUUGAGAUCGGAAGGAACGCCCGUGGCGAAAGCGAGGUCCUGGACCCCAUCUGACGCUGAGACGCGAAAGCCAGGGGAGCGAACGGG
RNAcentral lists this ribosomal RNA (254 nucleotides) under uncultured bacterium. Its description in RNAcentral is "partial 16S ribosomal RNA". It matches the Rfam family "Bacterial small subunit ribosomal RNA", at positions 524 to 776 of the family's 1533-position model. The record is from RNAcentral.